AGCAGUGACAUAAUUGCAAACGCCAAGAUUUGGUGAAGGCAUCACUUCCGCUUCAAGCUAAGCAGCUUAUAGCUCACACACCUCAUUGUGGAAUCCCAUUUCAUAAAAUCUCAAACAUACGUCAAAGGUUCGUCCUAUUUCUUCUUUAUUUUUAACCAUGGAAAGAUACCAAACUGUUUCGCAUGCCUAGCCCCCUCAUAAAGUUCACGCUUACACCUGUACUUUUCAACCUAAUUAGAUAAACUCUUUAACACGUACCCUUUUCAGCCAACAUGAUUGGCUUCUGGUGGAUGGCUGCAGGGAUGUGGAAAAAAAUCCAAGAUAAAACAAGAGAGUAGGUAGAGAAACAAAGGGCAGAACAAGAUUUCUUUUUUCACAUGAAAGAUGUUAUUUUAUUGGUUGGUUUUAACUGAGGAAACUUCGCUUCAGGAUUGAGCUUCACUGCUGUCUUGGUCAUUUAAUGCUGAGGUGGGUGUUUGGUCUUUGAGUUCAGUUUCCAACUUGGUUCUUCUUGCUUUUGUUGAAUGAUCUGAAGGUAGCUUUGAUUUGGUCAUUUAAUGUUUUUUUCUGUAAAUGAUUACUACUUUUCAAGAAUGCUGCUUUAUGGCCUUUUAUCAGUGAUUUUUGUUUGGAUCUUCAGGUUUGUUUAUUUUAGUUUGGGUAAAACUGCAAUUAUUGAAGUUAAUGGUAUUCAUUUCGUUCUUGGCUUCUGUAACCGACGGGAAGAAACGCAAUUAUCUGUUAUGGCAAUUAACAGAUUUUGCUUAUAAAUCCUAUCUUUAUAUCUCCUGUUUCUGUUUUUGUUAGUCUUUUCUUCUCUAGAUGUCCUUCUGUUCUCAAAUUGAUGAACUUUGGACUUCGCCUAAAACUGAAAUUUAUAGCUUAACUUCAGUGAUAGUAGGACUUCCUGGAUGACCAGCUAUUUAAUUUACAAUAUAAGCAAUGGUUUUCUGUAUUCUAAAAAUUUCCCUCUUUUUUUGAAUCUAAGUAUUAACAGUUUGCCAUUGGUUUACUGAUUUCAUAAUUUAGUUUUGCUCCUUACAUUCCUUGAGUAUUUCCCCUUUUUUUCUGGGAUGCUGUAAAUAUCUAGAGCUUAUGUUACUUUGAACUUCCAAUCACAUUUGAAAAUUUUUUAGUUGUGAAGUCAUGCGGCAUGGAAAAAUUUCUCUCAUAUAAAUCUCAGUUGCAGUUCACCUGAAUAAGCUGACGUGGUGGUGAGUCUAGCAUAAUUAAUUGGCCAAUGGGAUUCUGCCUGUCCUUGCUUUUCUUUCUGGCUUCUCUCCCUAUCAUAUUUGCGCAAGAUGUUAAACAUGCUACAAUUGUGGUUGAUGGGACUGUCACAACCGCUGAAACUGAUGAUAAUUUCAUAUGCGCUACCCUUGAUUGGUGGCCUCAUGAUAAGUGUGACUACAACCAAUGUCCUUGGCACUAUUCAUCUGUCAUAAAUUUGGACUUGUCUCAUCCUCUUCUGGCAAAAGCUAUCCAAGCUUUCAGGUACUUGAGGAUAAGAAUUGGAGGUUCUUUGCAAGACCAAGUGUUGUAUGAUGUAGGAAAUUUGAAUUCUACUUGCCAUCCAUUUAGAAAGAUGAAAGAUGGGUUGUUUGGAUUUUCAAAGGGAUGUUUACACAUGAACCGUUGGGAUGAGCUGAAUCAUUUAUUCAGUAGAACAGGGGCCAUUGUGACAUUUAGCUUAAAUGCCCUCCAUGGUAGGCACCAGAUCAGGAAGGGUGUUUGGGGAGGAGCUUGGGAUUCAAGUAAUGCUUAUGAUUUUAUGAACUACUCCGUCUCAAAGGGAUACAAGUUAGAUUCAUGGGAAUUUGGUAAUGAAUUGAGUGGAAGUGGCAUUGGUGCCAGUGUCAGUGCAGAACUCUAUGGGAAAGAUGUGAUCAACCUUAAAGAAAUUAUCAAGGAUUUGUAUAAGAAAUCUAAUUUCAAACCUUCACUUGUAGCACCUGGAGGAUUUUAUAACCAGCAGUGGUAUGCUAAACUUCUUCAGGUUUCAGGUUCAGGCAUAGUCAAUGUUAUGACUCAUCAUAUAUACAACUUAGGUGCAGGUGUUGAUCCCAACCUUGUGAAUAAGAUAUUAGAUCCCCAUCAUUUGAGCAAGAUAUCAGAAACAUUCAGUGGUAUUGUGCAAACCAUUCGACGGAAUGGUCCUUGGGCUUCUGCUUGGGUUGGAGAAUCUGGAGGUGCCUAUAACAGUGGUGGUCGUCAUGUGUCUAAUACAUUCGUGAAUAGCUUUUGGUACUUAGAUCAGCUUGGAAUGGCAGCCAAGUACCAUACAAAGGUAUAUUGCAGGCAAACAUUAAUUGGCGGAAACUAUGGUCUUCUCAAUACAACCACAUUUGUUCCCAAUCCUGACUAUUACAGUGCCCUUUUGUGGCAUCGGCUUAUGGGGAAAGGUGUUCUAGCUGUUGGAAGCGAUGCUUCACCGCAUCUGCGUGCUUAUGCCCAUUGCUCAAAAGGACGAGCAGGUAUAACUUUACUGCUAAUCAAUUUAAACAAUCAGACUGAUUUUAUAAUCAGUGUACGAAAUAGUAUGACAAUGAGAUUGCACGUGGAAAAGAAAUUAAUUCAGAAAGAAAACUCUUUGACGCGUGACCUUAAGAGAUCAGUUUCGUGGGUCGGAAAUGAAGCAUCCAACGGAGCAACCAGGGAGGAGUAUCAUCUAACUCCGAAAGAUGGGUACCUUCGAAGUGAAACCAUGGUUCUAAAUGGAAUCCCAUUAAAACUCACUGAAAGUGGAGACAUCCCAAGAUUGGACCCUGUCCACAAUAAUGUGAAUUCUCCUAUAUAUAUAAGUCCUUUGUCCAUUUCAUUCGUAGUGUUCCCUAAUUUUGAUGCUCCCUCUUGUGCAUAACUGGCUGCACUUAGCUUUAUAAUUAUUCUGUGUUGUAUAUGAAGUUGCAGAAAGUGUAAUUUGGUUGUAAUUGUAAUUAUGACAGGUUAUAGCUUAUGCUAUUAUGUUAUGAGGCAAGGAUGUUAGAAUAAGAUGCAAUGCAUCACUUGAUAGUUGAAUAUUAU
This 3024-nucleotide unclassified non-coding RNA is filed under the name Hevea brasiliensis (rubber tree). The record is from RNAcentral. Lineage: Eukaryota; Viridiplantae; Streptophyta; Magnoliopsida; Malpighiales; Euphorbiaceae.